AUGAGUAUAGUCAGCAACAUCCAGCUUGGUCUUCCGGCGUUCCACCAAUUCCUUUUUAGAACACUUGGCAAGUGCAGACGGCUGUGCCGGCUCAACAAACUGAGUCUUGAGAAUUUCAACUUCCUGAUCAUUUACCUUGGCAGGGCUAGGAGCCUCCGGGUUACAAGAAUCGUUGAGGGUUUGUUCAGUAGGCGGGUCAGAGGAAGAUAUAGGAACAUCAUGAGAUGGUUGAGGCGGCGGCUCGUGAGUAGAGGCAUCAGGAGUAGUUGUGCCCAACUCUGGUUCAGUCACAACCGGCUCUUGGGGCGGCUUAUUCUUUUUUGCCCUUUUGCUGGGCUUUACUUGCACACUGUGGAAAAGGUAGACAAGUUAAAUACAGCAAAUAUGAGUAAAAUAAAGCAUAAGGUACAACAAGUUUAUUACCCGGGAGCAGUUUUGAAGGCUGGCAUGUUGGACUGCAUAGACUCACAGGAGGAAGGUGAAAUAUCCUGA
This 492-nucleotide ribosomal RNA is filed under the name Triticum aestivum (bread wheat). RNAcentral's name for it is "partial small subunit ribosomal RNA". Lineage: Eukaryota; Viridiplantae; Streptophyta; Magnoliopsida; Poales; Poaceae. The record is from RNAcentral.